AUGAACGCUGGUGGCGUGCCUAAUACAUGCAAGUCGAGCGAACGGACGAGAAGCUUGCUUCUCUGAUGUUAGCGGCGGACGGGUGAGUAACACGUGGAUAACCUACCUAUAAGACUGGGAUAACUUCGGGAAACCGUAGCUAAUACCGGAUAAUAUUUUGAACCGCAUGGUUCAAAAGUGAAAGACGGUCUUGCUGUCACUUAUAGAUGGAUCCGCGCUGCAUUAGCUAGUUGGUAAGGUAACGGCUUACCAACGCAACGAUGCAUAGCCGACCUGAGAGGGUGAUCGGCCACACUGGAACUGAGACACGGUCCAGACUCCUACGGGAGGCAGCAGUAGGGAAUCUUCCGCAAUGGGCGAAAGCCUGACGGAGCAACGCCGCGUGAGUGAUGAAGGUCUUCGGAUCGUAAAACUCUGUUAUUAGGGAAGAACAUAUGUGUAAGUAACUGUGCACAUCUUGACAGUACCUAAUCAGAAAGCCACGGCUAACUACGUG
Molecule: ribosomal RNA, 496 nt
Filed under: uncultured bacterium
Lineage: Bacteria
Description: partial 16S ribosomal RNA
Rfam family: Bacterial small subunit ribosomal RNA
Source: RNAcentral